This 404-nucleotide ribosomal RNA is filed under the name uncultured bacterium. RNAcentral describes it as "partial 16S ribosomal RNA". It matches the Rfam family "Bacterial small subunit ribosomal RNA", at positions 28 to 526 of the family's 1533-position model. The record is from RNAcentral.
GAUGAACGCUGACAGAAUGCUUAACACAUGCAAGUCAACUGUGGCGGACGGGUGAGUAACGCGUAAAGAACUUGCCUCACGGAUAGGGACACCAUUUGGAAACGAAUGCUAAUACCUGAUACUGUGAGAGAGCUUUGCGUCCCAUUAGCUAGUUGGAGAGGUCACGGCUCACCAAGGCGAUGAUGGGUAGCCGGCCUGAGAGGGUGAUCGGCCACAAGGGGAUGGAGACGCGGCCCUUACUCGUACGGGAGGCAGCAGUGGGGAUGAAUGGAGAAUGGGCCAAAGUCUGUACCAUUAAGUGUGUGUGCACGAUGAAGUUUUCGGAAUGGAAGGUGCUUUCAGUUGGGAAGCGGUACCAACAGAAGAAGUGACGGCUAACUACGUGCCAGCAGCCGCGGUAAUAC